UACGAAGGGGGCUAUCGUUGUUCGGAAUUACUGGGCGUAAAGCGCGCGCAGGCGGCCUUUCAAGUCAGGGGUGAAAGCCCGGAGCUCAACUCCGGAAUUGCCUUUGAAACUGUCAGGCUCGAGUACGGGAGAGGUGAGUGGAAUUCCCAGUGUAGAGGUGAAAUUCGUAGAUAUUGGGAAGAACACCGGUGGCGAAGGCAGCUCGCUGGGACGGUAUUGACGCUGAGACGCGAAAGCGUGGGGAGCAAACAGG
Molecule: ribosomal RNA, 253 nt
Filed under: uncultured bacterium
Lineage: Bacteria
Description: partial 16S ribosomal RNA
Rfam family: Bacterial small subunit ribosomal RNA
Source: RNAcentral